GAAAUGCGAUAAGUAGUGUGAAUUGCAGAAUUCAGUGAAUCAUCGAAUCUUUGAACGCACAUUGCGCCCUUUGGCAUUCCGAAGGGCAUGCCUGUUCGAGCGUCAUUACAACCCUCAGGCCCCCGGGCCUGGCGUUGGGGAUCGGCGGAAGCCCCCUGCGGGCACAACGCCGUCCCCCAAAUACAGUGGCGGUCCCGCCGCAGCUUCCAUUGCGUAGUAGCUAACACCUCGCAACUGGAGAGCGGCGCGGCCACGCCGUAAAACACCCAACUUCUGAAUGUUGACCUCGAAUCAGGUAGGAAUACCCGCUGAACUUAAGC
RNAcentral lists this unclassified non-coding RNA (320 nucleotides) under plant metagenome. RNAcentral describes it as "partial contains 5.8S ribosomal RNA, internal transcribed spacer 2, and large subunit ribosomal RNA". The stretch from base 1 to 105 matches the Rfam family "5.8S ribosomal RNA", at positions 50 to 154 of the family's 154-position model. The record is from RNAcentral.